Molecule: unclassified non-coding RNA, 277 nt
Filed under: uncultured fungus
Lineage: Eukaryota; Fungi
Description: partial contains 5.8S rRNA, ITS2 and 28S rRNA
Rfam family: Eukaryotic large subunit ribosomal RNA
Source: RNAcentral
AAGGAGUUCAUCAUUUGUGCAAGUGUUUUAGUGACAAACUAAUAUGCUAAAUGAAAGUAAACAAUGGGACUGAAUUGCACCAUUAACCGGUUUUUAUAUAUAGGUUUGAGUCAGAGCAUAAAUGUUGGGACCCGAAAGAUGGUGAACUAUACCUGAAUAGGGCGAAGCCAGAGGAAACUCUGGUGGAAGCUUGUAGCGAUUCUGACGUGCAAAUCGAUCGUCAAAUUUGGGUAUAGGGGCGAAAGACUAAUCGAGCAAUCUAGUAGCUGGUUCCUGC